UAGGGAAUCUUCCGCAAUGGGCGAAAGCCUGACGGAGCAACGCCGCGUGAGUGAUGAAGGUCUUCGGAUCGUAAAACUCUGUUAUUAGGGAAGAACAAAUGUGUAAGUAACUAUGCACGUCUUGACGGUACCUAAUCAGAAAGCCACGGCUAACUACGUGCCAGCAGCCGCGGUAAUACGUAGGUGGCAAGCGUUAUCCGGAAUUAUUGGGCGUAAAGCGCGCGUAGGCGGUUUUUUAAGUCUGAUGUGAAAGCCCACGGCUCAACCGUGGAGGGUCAUUGGAAACUGGAAAACUUGAGUGCAGAAGAGGAAAGUGGAAUUCCAUGUGCAGCGGUGAAAUGCGCAGAGAUAUGGAGGAACACCAGUGGCGAAGGCGACUUUCUGGUCUGUAACUGACACUGAUGUGCGAAAGCGUGGGGAUCAAACAGG
Molecule: ribosomal RNA, 429 nt
Filed under: Actinomycetes bacterium
Lineage: Bacteria; Bacillati; Actinomycetota; Actinomycetes
Description: Actinobacteria bacterium partial 16S ribosomal RNA
Rfam family: Bacterial small subunit ribosomal RNA
Source: RNAcentral